This 344-nucleotide unclassified non-coding RNA is filed under the name soil metagenome. RNAcentral's name for it is "partial contains 5.8S ribosomal RNA, internal transcribed spacer 2, and large subunit ribosomal RNA". The stretch from base 1 to 120 matches the Rfam family "5.8S ribosomal RNA", at positions 35 to 154 of the family's 154-position model. The record is from RNAcentral.
GAUGAAGAACGCAGCAAAAUGCGAUAAGUAAUGUGAAUUGCAGAAUUCAGUGAAUCAUCGAAUCUUUGAACGCACAUUGCGCCCGCCAGUAUUCUGGCGGGCAUGCCUGUUCGAGCGUCAUUUCAACCCUCAAGCCCUCGGGUUUGGUGUUGGGGAUCGGCGAGCCUUUCUGGCAAGCCGGCCCCUAAAUCUAGUGGCGGACCCGUCGUGGCCUCCUCUGCGAAGUAGUGAUAUUCCGCAUCGGAGAGCGAUGAGCCCCUGCCGUUAAACCCCCAACUUUCCAAGGUUGACCUCAGAUCAGGUAGGAAUACCCGCUGAACUUAAGCAUAUCAAUAAGCGGAGGA